UGAAGCUGGAAUCGCUAGUAAUCGCGAAUCAGAAUGUCGCGUGAAUACGUUCCCGGUCUUGUACACACCGCCCGUCACACCAUGGGAGUCGGAAAUGCCCGAAGUCAGUGACCCAACCGUAAGGAGGGAGCUGCCGAAGGUGGAGCCGGUAACUGGGGUGAAGUCGUAACAAGGUAUC
This 178-nucleotide ribosomal RNA is filed under the name uncultured bacterium. Its description in RNAcentral is "partial 16S ribosomal RNA". It matches the Rfam family "Bacterial small subunit ribosomal RNA", at positions 1321 to 1500 of the family's 1533-position model. The record is from RNAcentral.